RNAcentral lists this ribosomal RNA (1332 nucleotides) under uncultured bacterium. RNAcentral describes it as "bacterial SSU rRNA". It matches the Rfam family "Bacterial small subunit ribosomal RNA", at positions 90 to 1427 of the family's 1533-position model. The record is from RNAcentral.
GGCGACCGGCGCACGGGUGAGUAACGCGUAUGCAACCUACCUGUAACAGAGGGAUAGCCCAGAGAAAUGUGGAUUAAUAUCUCAUAGUUCUAUUAGAUCGCAUGAUUUGAUAGAUAAAGCUCCGGCGGUUACAGAUGGGCAUGCGUGACAUUAGCUAGUUGGUAAGGUAACGGCCCAUCAAGGCUACGAUGUCUAGGGGUUCUGAGAGGAUUACCCCCCACACUGGUACUGAGACACGGACCAGACUCCUACGGGAGGCAGCAGUGAGGAAUAUUGGUCAAUGGCCGGAAGGCUGAACCAGCCAUCCCGCGUGCAGGAUGACGGCCCUAUGGGUUGUAAACUGCUUUUAUACAGGAAGAAACACUCCCUCGUGAGGGUGGUUGCCGGUAAGGUAUGAAUAAGCAUCGGCUAACUCCGUGCCAGCAGCCGCGGUAAUACGGAGGAUGCAAGCGUUAUCCGGAUUCAUUGGGUUUAAAGGGUGCGCAGGCGGUGAUAUAAGUCAGUGGUGAAAGUUUUCAGCUUAACGGUAGAAUUGCCAUUGAUACUGUUUUUCUUGAGUAUGGUUGAGGUAGGUGGAAUGUGUUGUGUAGCGGUGAAAUGCAUAGAUAUGACACAGAACGCCGAUUGCGAAGGCAGCUUACUAAGCCAUUACUGACGCUGAGGCACGAAAGCGUGGGGAUCGAACAGGAUUAGAUACCCUGGUAGUCCACGCCGUAAACGAUGAUCACUCGCUGUUUGCGAUAUACAGCAAGCGGCUGAGCGAAAGCAUUAAGUGAUCCACCUGGGGAGUACGAUCGCAAGGUUGAAACUCAAAGGAAUUGACGGGGGCCCGCACAAGCGGAGGAACAUGUGGUUUAAUUCGAUGAUACGCGAGGAACCUUACCUGGGCUUAAAUGUAGAGCGACAGAUUGUGAAAGCAGUCCUUCUUCGGACGAUCUACAAGGUGCUGCAUGGUUGUCGUCAGCUCGUGCCGUGAGGUGUCGGGUUAAGUCCCAUAACGAGCGCAACCCUUAUCGUUAGUUGCCAGCGGGUUAAGCCGGGGACUCUAGCAGAACUGCCGUUGACAAAACGGAGGAAGGUGGGGAUGACGUCAAAUCAUCAUGCCCCUUAUGUCUUGGGCUACACACGUACUACAAUGGCUGAAACAAGGGAAGCAAAACUGCGAAGUUAAGCGAACCCCUUAAAACAGGUCCCAGUUCGGAUUGUAGGCUGCAACUCGCCUACAUGAAGUUGGAAUCGCUAGUAAUCGCAGGUCAGCAUACUGCGGUGAAUACGUUCCCGGGCCUUGUACACACCGCCCGUCACACCACGAAAGUCUGCAACACCCGAAGA